UACGUAGGGUGCGAGCGUUGUCCGGAAUUAUUGGGCGUAAAGAGCUCGUAGGCGGUGCGUCGCGUCGGUCGUGAAAACUUGGGGCUUAACCCUGAGCUUGCGGUCGAUACGGGCAUCACUGGAGUUCGGCAGGGGAGACUGGAAUUCCUGGUGUAGCGGUGAAAUGCGCAGAUAUCAGGAGGAACACCGGUGGCGAAGGCGGGUCUCUGGGCCGAUACUGACGCUGAGGAGCGAAAGCGUGGGGAGCGAACAGG
Molecule: ribosomal RNA, 254 nt
Filed under: uncultured bacterium
Lineage: Bacteria
Description: partial 16S ribosomal RNA
Rfam family: Bacterial small subunit ribosomal RNA
Source: RNAcentral